This 987-nucleotide non-coding RNA is filed under the name Ptilorrhoa caerulescens (blue jewel-babbler). RNAcentral's name for it is "12S ribosomal RNA". It matches the Rfam family "Bacterial small subunit ribosomal RNA". Lineage: Eukaryota; Metazoa; Chordata; Aves; Passeriformes; Cinclosomatidae. The record is from RNAcentral.
AAAGACUUAGUCCUAACCUUACUGUUGGUUUUUGCUAGACAUAUACAUGCGAGUAUCCGCGCCCCAGUGAAGAAGCCCUAGUCACCCUUUAACAAAAAGUCGACAGGAGCGGGCAUCAGGCACACCCACCCAACUGGUAGCCCAAGACGCCUUGCACCCGCCACACCCCCACGGGUAUUCAGCAGUAGUUAACAUUAAGCAAUGAGUGUAAACUUGACUUAGUCAUAGCAAAUUAGGGUUGGUAAAUCCUGUGCCAGCCACCGCGGUCAUACAGGAGACCCAAAUCAACAUUAUCCCCAAAACGGCGUAAAGAGUGGUCACAUGCUAUCCAAGUAACUAAGAUUAAAAUGCAACUGAGCCGUCACAAGCCCAAGAUGCCCAUAAGGCCUACUACCAAAGAAGAUCUUAGACUAACGAUUAAUUGAAAUCCACGAAAGCCAGGGCCCAAACUGGGAUUAGAUACCCCACUAUGCCUGGCCCUAAAUCUUGGUGCUUCAUACUACCUAAGCAUCCGCCCGAGAACUACGAGCACAAACGCUUAAAACUCUAAGGACUUGGCGGUGCCUCAAACCCAUCUAGAGGAGCCUGUUCUACAAUCGAUGAUCCACGCUACACCUUACCAUUCCUUGCCAAGUCAGCCUACAUACCGCCGUCCUCAGCCCACCCACCUGAAGGAACAACAGUGAGCGCAAUAGUCCAACCACACUAGUAAGACAGGUCAAGGUAUAGCCCAUGGAAUGGGAGUAAUGGGCUACAUUUUCUAGGAUAGAACAUCACGGCAAAGGGACCUGAAACGGUCCUUGGAAGGCGGAUUUAGCAGUAAAGUGGGACAAUCGAGCCCUCUUUAAACCGGCUCUGGGGCACGUACAUACCGCCCGUCACCCUCCUCAAAAGCGACCAAAAACCCAAAAUAACUAAUAAGCUAUCAAGCUAAAGAGGAGGCAAGUCGUAACAAGGUAAGUGUACCGGAAGGUGCACUUAGAUAAU